CUCUGAUUGAAGAUAUAAAUGUGACCCUGGGUUCGAAUUUUCCAAUGGAGCCACCGAGUCAACUAUCACUUGCGGAAACAACGGGGAAUGGACACCAACCAUCUCUGAUUGCAAACGGGUCAGUUGUGGACCGCCCACACUUUCCGAAGCCAACAAAUUGUUUUCAAACUAUGACGCCACUAAUCCGCCCAAAGAGGGCGACAAGAUUGUGAUCCAUUGCUCUCCAGGAUACUAUUUUCGGCACAAUUCGUCGCAACUCGAAUUUGAGGCCACUUGUAAACUGCAGGGAGACACUUGGGAGUACAUCAAACCGGCGAAAUACGCCACCGCCAUGCCUGUUUGCAUGAAAGCCAAGUUUUGUCCAAUCCCUCCUACUAUUCCUGACGGAGUAGAGCUCAGACGAAAGUUUAAUUUCAUUUACACCAUCGAUUCGGACCUCCAUUGGACAGGAAGUUCUAUCAAUCCAAGUGCAACUGGGGUGAUCAAUGCUUUUGACGGGGAAAUCCACCGAAGCCACUUCUUCCACAGCC
This is a long non-coding RNA of Tigriopus californicus, 530 nucleotides long. RefSeq lists it as uncharacterized. Lineage: Eukaryota; Metazoa; Arthropoda; Copepoda; Harpacticoida; Harpacticidae. The record is from RefSeq and is a predicted model, not a curated record. The transcript is spliced from 4 exons.